Molecule: small nucleolar RNA, 119 nt
Filed under: Nannospalax galili (Upper Galilee mountains blind mole rat)
Lineage: Eukaryota; Metazoa; Chordata; Mammalia; Rodentia; Spalacidae
Description: Small nucleolar RNA SNORA42/SNORA80 family (ENSNGAG00000005504.1)
Rfam family: Small nucleolar RNA SNORA42/SNORA80 family
About the family: The members of this family belong to the H/ACA class of snoRNAs that guide the sites of modification of uridines to pseudouridines.
Source: Rfam by way of RNAcentral
GCAUGAAAAUAUGUAUAUGAGCCUCUCAUAGUGUCCCAUGCUAGGGCAACCCGUGGCUCCGAACCAUUGCCUGGCCUUUGUACCUGUAGGCUGCUGGCACUAAAGUGGGUCCCACGGUC